AUGCAAAAUAAUGCAGCUCUCCAUCUUCCUUCCUUCCUUCCCCUCUACUGGUGUCAAUCAGGCAGCAUGGAGGUGAGUUCCUACUCCCAUCCCCUGGCAAGUGCCAUGAAUAAGUGCCCUCCUUCUUCCCUUCUGGGUCUCAGCAAAGCCCAGCCAAGAGCUGAGUUUAUACCCCCUAUUUGAAGGCAAGAACAUGGUAUAGACUGGUGCCCAACUUUCAUUCACCAAGAAGGUGUAAGCAGAGCCAAGGGGGAGCUAUCCUUCAAUCCCACCCAUCUGCUAAGAGAGUGUGUAAACACUUCACUUUUACCGAGAUGCUAUUCGUAGUGUCCACCAAAAAACUAAAUAUAUACACACAUCUGGCUUUUGGGCUACACCUCAACAAAGGGAAUACUUGCUAAAAUAAAUGAAUAUUAAAAAAAAGGUUCCAGAGUCUCAUAAUUCCAAAAUGUCUGGAGAAAAUUAAAAAGUCGCUCAUCAUCCUAAGAACUAGGAAAAUCACACGAGUGAGACAAGACAAUCAAUAGAUGUCCGUAUUAAAAUCAAUGGGAUGUUGAAAUUAUCCGACAAGAUUGCUAAAUCAGCUAUAAUAAAAAUCCUUCAAUAAGCAAUUAUGAAUUCUCUUAAAACUGAAAAACUAGAAAAUCUCAGUAAAGAAAUAGGAAUAAAGCAAUAGCACAGCUACAACAUGGAUGAAUCUAAGAAAACAUUAUGCUAAGUGAAUAAGGCAGUUACAAAACACACACACAUACACGCUCAUAUUGUAUGAUAAAAUUUACAUGAAAUCUCCAGAGCAGACAAAUCUAUAGACAGAAAGUAGAUUAAUGGUUGCCUGGAGUUGAUGGUGGUGUAGAAAAAGGAAUGACUGUUAGUGGGUACAGGUUUCUUUGGGACUGAUGGAAAUGUUCCAAAAUUAGAUUACAGUGAUGUUUGUGCAACUCUACAAAUAUACUGAAAGCUACUGAAUUAUAUACACUUCACGAGUGAAUUUUAUAGUAUAUAAAUUGUAUCUUGAUAUGAUUUAAUAUAAAAUUUAAAUUAAUGAUUAAAUUUUAAGAAGAAUCAAUCUGCCAAACUAAAAAGUAUAGUAACCGAAAAUCUUUCUGAUCUAACUAAGCAGAGUGGAAACAGAGGACAGAAAUCAGUGAACCUGAGGACAGAUCAAUCAGGAUUUACCCUGAACAAGAAAGAGAAAAUAGACUGAAGAAAUGAAGAGAGCCUGUGGAACCUGCAGGACAAUAACAAAAGAUCCAUCAUCAGAGUCCCAAAAAGAUACAAGAAAGACAGGGGAGCUGAAAGUGUUUUAAGAAGUAGUGGUGGAAUACUUCCCAAAUUUUUCAAGUGCUCAGAGAAAAGAACUGUCAACCAUGAAUACUACAUCCAAUGAGGAAUAAAGGGGAAAAAAAGACAUUCUCAGACAAAAGAAAACUAAAGACUUUGCUCCUAGUAGACCUACCCUUAUAAAUUGGCUAAUGGGAGUUCUUCAAACAGAAUGAAAAUGAUGAAAGAAGGAAUCCUGGACCAUCAGAAACAAAGAACAAAGAAGCAGAAAUAUGGGUGCAUACAAUGGACUCAUUUCAUAAGUUUUAGAAAUGCUUUUUGAUGAUUGAAAAAAAUUAUACACCAUAUUGUGAUCAGGAAAAAGAUGUUUAAAAGUGGUGAAAGAAAAAAGAUAUAUAUGGAAGUAAGUUUUCACACUUGACUUAAAGUGGUAAAAUGUUAAUACAAGUAGACUGUGAUAUGCUCUGUAUGCUUAUUGUAAUACUUAGAAUAAACUCUAAAAAAACUAUAUACAAAGUGAUAUACUCAAAAACACUAUAAAUAAAUCAAGAAGGAAUCCUAAAUAUUAUUCAAUCAACCCAAAAGAAGGUAAGAGAAACAGAUCAUUUGAAAAGGGGGAAAGGGAUGCCUGGGUGGCUCAGUGGUUUAGCACCUGCCUUUAAGCCAGGGCGUGAUCCUGGAGACCCGGAAUCAAGUCCCACAUCCGGCUCCCAGCAUGGAGCCUGCUUCUCCCUCUGCCUGUGUCUCUGCCUCUCCCUCUCUCUCUGUGUCCCAUGAAUAAAUAAAUAAAAUCUUAAAAAUAAAAUAAAAUAAAUAAUAAAUAAAAAGGGGGGAAAACAGAAAACAAAAAUAGAUUUUAGCCCUAAACAUAUCAACAAUUACCUUAAAUGUAAAUGACCUAAAUAUGCCAAUUAAAAAACAGAUAUUUGCAGAGUGGGUACAUAAAUAUGAUCCAACAAGAUGCCAUUGACAAGAAACUCACUUCAAAUAUGACGACAUUUUUGUACAGGAUGGCAAAAGAUAUCCUAUGCAAACAGUAACUUAGAAAUGCAGGGUGGUAAAUUAAAGCCAGAUAAAGUAAACUUCAGAGAAAAGAAAAUUCCUAGAGACAAAGAGGGACAUUACAUAAUGAUAAGAGGAUCAAUCCACCAGGAAGUCAUGAUAAUUCUAAAUACUAAAUACACCUGUAUGAAAAAAGAGCCUCAAAAUACAUAAAGCAAAAAUUGAUAAACUGAAAGAAGAAAUAGACAAAUCUACAAUUAUAGUUAGGGAUUUCAACACUUCAGUUUCAGAAACUGAUUGCUAGGUAGAAAAUCAGUAAGGAUAUAAAAUGACCAACACAAUCAUCUAACAGGAUCUAAUUGUAUACAGAACAUUCUAUCCAACAACAGUAGAAUAAAUAUUUUAAGAGCCCAUGGAACAUGUACCAACAGAGACUACAUCUUAAGCCAUAAAAUAAACUUCAACAAAUGUAAAAGAAUUAAAAUACAACAGAUUUCUUCCUAACUUAAUAGAUUUUUUUCUAGCUUCAACCUAAAAAAUCAUUACCAGAAAACGACCAGAAAAUUUCCACACAUUUCUGAAUAAUCCAUGAGUAAAAAGGAAUUUUCACAGGAAAGAUAAAAAUACAUAGAAUUCAAUAAAAAUGAAAAUGCACUAGGUCAAAAUAUGUGGAUAUAGCUAAAGUACUGAAGGAGAAGUUAUAGCCCUAAUAUAAAAAAGAGGAACAGUUUGAAAACAUUGCUCCCACCUCAAAAAAAU
RNAcentral lists this long non-coding RNA (3042 nucleotides) under Canis lupus familiaris (dog). RNAcentral describes it as "lncRNA (ENSCAFG00845015654.1)". Lineage: Eukaryota; Metazoa; Chordata; Mammalia; Carnivora; Canidae. The record is from RNAcentral.